GUCUCCUCUCCCUGCUCCAGUGUUCGCCAGCUCAGAGCCUGUCCCAGGAUUCCAGGGAGACACUUUACAGCUGGCAUUCAUCGACCUCCGACAGCUGCUGGACCUGUUCAUGGUGUGGGACUGGUCUACGUACCUGGCUGACUACGGACAGCCCACCUCCAAGUACCUUCGGGUCAACCCCUCCACUGCACUAGCACUUUUGGAAAAAGUCUACAGGGG
Molecule: long non-coding RNA, 219 nt
Organism: Oncorhynchus gorbuscha (pink salmon)
Lineage: Eukaryota; Metazoa; Chordata; Actinopteri; Salmoniformes; Salmonidae
Exons: 3
Source: RefSeq, a predicted model, not a curated record